RNAcentral lists this ribosomal RNA (468 nucleotides) under uncultured bacterium. RNAcentral describes it as "partial 16S ribosomal RNA". It matches the Rfam family "Bacterial small subunit ribosomal RNA", at positions 28 to 507 of the family's 1533-position model. The record is from RNAcentral.
GACGAACGCUGGCGGCGUGCUUAACACAUGCAAGUCGAACGGAAAGGCCCUGCUUUUGUGGGGUGCUCGAGUGGCGAACGGGUGAGUAACACGUGAGUAACCUGCCCUUGACUUUGGGAUAACUUCAGGAAACUGGGGCUAAUACCGGAUAGGAGCUCCUGCUGCAUGGUGGGGGUUGGAAAGUUUCGGCGGUUGGGGAUGGACUCGCGGCUUAUCAGCUUGUUGGUGGGGUAGUGGAUUACCAAGGGUUUGACGGGUAGCCGGCCUGGGGGGGUGACCGGGCACAAUAGGACUGGGGGAAGGGCCAGGAGCCAAACGGAGGCAAGAGGGGGGAAUAUUGCAGAAUGGGGCGGAGGCAGAAGUGAGCACCCCGGGUGCGGGAAGAACGGCUUUGGGGUAGGAACCGGUUUUCGCGUGUACGGAAGCUUAAUGACGGUAAAUGGUAAAGAAGCACCGGCUAACUACGUG